RNAcentral lists this ribosomal RNA (446 nucleotides) under uncultured bacterium. RNAcentral's name for it is "partial 16S ribosomal RNA". It matches the Rfam family "Bacterial small subunit ribosomal RNA", at positions 338 to 795 of the family's 1533-position model. The record is from RNAcentral.
CCUACGGGAGGCAGCAGUCGAGAAUCAUUCACAAUGGGGGAAACCCUGAUGGUGCGACGCCGCGUGGGGGAAUGAAGGUCUUCGGAUUGUAAACCCCUGUCAUGUGGGAGCAAAUUAAAAAGAUAGUACCCCAAGAGGAAGAGACGGCUAACUCUGUGCCAGCAGCCGCGGUAAUACAGAGGUCUCAAGCGUUGUUCGGAAUCACUGGGCGUAAAGCGUGCGUAGGCUGUUUCGUAAGUCGUGUGUGAAAGGCGCGGGCUCAACCCGCGGACGGCACAUGAUACUGCGAGACUAGAGUAAUGGAGGGGGAACAGGAAUUCUCGGUGUAGCAGUGAAAUGCGUAGAUAUCGAGAGGAACACUCGUGGCGAAGGCGGGUUCCUGGACAUUAACUGACGCUGAGGCACGAAGGCCAGGGGAGCGAAAGGGAUUAGAUACCCUUGUAGUC